AGAGUUUGAUCCUGGCUCAGGACGAACGCUGGCGGCGUGCUUAACACAUGCAAGUCGAACGAAGAGACUUGGAAGCUUGCUUCUAAGAAUCUUAGUGGCGAACGGGUGAGUAACGCGUAAUCAACCUGCCCUUCAGAGGGGGACAACAGUUGGAAACGACUGCUAAUACCGCAUACGAUCCAAUCUCGGCAUCGAGGAUGGAUGAAAGGUGGCCUCUAUUUAUAAGCUAUCACUGAAGGAGGGGAUUGCGUCUGAUUAGCUAGUUGGAGGGGUAACGGCCCACCAAGGCGAUGAUCAGUAGCCGGUCUGAGAGGGUGAACGGCCACAUUGGGACUGAGACACGGCCCAGACUCCUACGGGAGGCAGCAGUGGGGAAUCUUCCGCAAUGGACGAAAGUCUGACGGAGCAACGCCGCGUGAGUGAUGACGGCCUUCGGGUUGUAAAGCUCUGUUAAUCGGGACGAAAGGCCUUCUUGCGAAUAGUUAGAAGGAUUGACGGUACCGGAAUAGAAAGCCACGGCUAACUACGUGCCAGCAGCCGCGGU
RNAcentral lists this ribosomal RNA (544 nucleotides) under unidentified oral bacterium AP60-39. RNAcentral's name for it is "bacterial SSU rRNA". It matches the Rfam family "Bacterial small subunit ribosomal RNA", at positions 8 to 521 of the family's 1533-position model. The record is from RNAcentral.